This 492-nucleotide ribosomal RNA is filed under the name uncultured bacterium. RNAcentral's name for it is "partial 16S ribosomal RNA". It matches the Rfam family "Bacterial small subunit ribosomal RNA", at positions 29 to 507 of the family's 1533-position model. The record is from RNAcentral.
AGUGAACGCUGGCGGUAGGCCUAACACAUGCAAGUCGAACGGCAGCACAGUAAGAGCUUGCUCUUACGGGUGGCGAGUGGCGGACGGGUGAGGAAUACAUCGGAAUCUACUUUUUCGUGGGGGAUAACGUAGGGAAACUUACGCUAAUACCGCAUACGACCUACGGGUGAAAGCAGGGGAUCUUCGGACCUUGCGCGAUUGAAUGAGCCGAUGUCGGAUUAGCUAGUUGGCGGGGUAAAGGCCCACCAAGGCGACGAUCCGUAGCUGGUCUGAGAGGAUGAUCAGCCACACUGGAACUGGGACACGGUCCAGACUCCGACGGGAGGCAGCAGUGGGGAAUAUUGGACAAGGGGCGCAAGCCUAAUCCAGCCAUACCGCGUGGGUGAGGAAGACCUUCGGGUUGUAAAGCCCUUUUGUUGGGAAAGAAAAGCAGCAGGUUAAUACCCCGCUGUUCUGACGGUACCCGAAGAAUAAGCACCGGCUAACUACGUG